Molecule: long non-coding RNA, 6074 nt
Filed under: Mytilus galloprovincialis (Mediterranean mussel)
Lineage: Eukaryota; Metazoa; Mollusca; Bivalvia; Mytilida; Mytilidae
Source: RNAcentral
UCUAUUUUCACUUCCGGCUUUUCGGCUUGGCUGGGUAUUGUUGUCAAAUUGUUGAAUGAAAACGUUUAAUUUUCAAUUUAUAUAAUUUAUUGACCUAUACAAAUAUAUUUGGUAAGUAUAGGAACUAGAAUUAUGUCCAUUUUACCAAACAAACCUCAAAAACAUUAAACCUACACAAGAAAUGGACUCUCAUCAGCAUUGUUUUUAAACGCAUUUUAAAACAAUGCCAGUUUUUGGGAUACAUAGAAAACAUAGGAAAAUAGGUGAUCAGAUACGAAGUGAAAUACUUCUCUCACUCUGAGUCUCAGUGACUGCUGUGGAAAGUAAACUUGGAAUUGAUAGUACAAAAAUAAAACACAAUAGGCCUAAGAACAUUGUUCAUAAACUUUUAACCGGGAUUGGCUAUUUUGUAACUAUUCAGCUUUAUACAUGUACAUAAAUUACAUUUUACAUUUGCAGUUGAAUCGGUUUUGAAAAUAAUAUUAUCCAGCUACAUGCAUGACAUGUAUUCAUGUGGGUAUCUGGAUGAUUUGUUCCAACUCCGAUUCGUACCAACAUGGCCAACAACACAGUGUAGAAUGGUAACGGACUUAUCAGGUUUUUGUCGACGUUUCCGCACUAAUUGGGUUCGGCAACAGACUUAUCACGUUUUGUUUUCAGACAGUGUGACACAAAAUGAGCCAAAUAGACGAAAAGAAGUCGUUAGUGUUUAUGUUUAUAUGAUCACAGAAGGCACCGAUGAUCUUACUUUGCAAAAAUUUUCAUUUUGCUUCAGUACCACUCUUGGCUUUUUCAAAAAGCUCCACACUAAACAGGACAACAGGCCGAACACAGCUACUAAUAGUGUGUUUUCCGUUCAAAUACACAAUAUAUUAGAAUGUCGACUUUUUGUGCCCCUUUAUUUCAUACAAAUAACAUAUUAGAACCACUUGUGUGCAUUCAAAGACUUAGAAUAUCGUAUAUAAAAGCUUUAUCAAAAUUGGUUGGCAGCAGACUAAUCGGGUUUCCCUAAAAUGGCAUGUUUUUUAACACCGAACUGUUGAGGUUUAUUUAGCACGAGACUUAUUGUGUUUUUAUUGUUUUACCAGGGUAAAAAAUUAUGUUUUUAUAAAACUGUGAAUAUUGAAAAUGUUUUGGUCGUAUAUUGGUAUCACGUUGUCGUCGUCGUUGAAUUGAAUAAUUGAUGUUCUUUGAUAUGCCGAAUCUAACUGUGUAUGUAGAUUCCUAAUUUUUGAUCCUGUUUUCAAGUUGGUCUACAUUAAAGUCCAAAGGGUCCAAAAUUAAACUAAGUUUGAUUUUAACAAAAAUUGAAUUCUUGGGCUUCUUUGAUAUACUGAAUCUAAACAUGUACUUAGAUUUUUGAUUAUGGGCCCAGUUUUCAAGUUGGUCCAAAUCAGGAUCCAAAAUUAUUAUAUUAAGUAUUGUGCAAUAGCAAGAAAUUUUCAAUUGCACAGUAUUGCGCAAUGGCAAGAAAUAUCUAAUUGCACAAUAUUGUGAAAUAGCAAAUUUUUUUUAAUUAGAGUUAUCUUUCUUUGUCCAGAAUAGUAAGCAAGAAAUAUCUAAUUGCAAAAUAUUGUGCAAUAGCAAGAUUUUUUUUUAAUUGGAGUUAUCUUUCUUUGUCCAGAAUCAACUUAAAUCUUUGUUAUAUACAAUAUACAAUGUAUAUUCACUUUUUACUACCAACUGAUAAAUUAAAAUAAUCUUUACCAUUCAGUGAUAACAAGCAGUUUUUUUACAUCUUAAUAUUUUAUGAUGUAUUUAAAUGAGUAGUUAUUGUUGCAAACUCCAUUAGAAAUUUUAAUUGAGAUUAGUUUUGGAAUUAGGGAAAGGGGGAUGUGAUUAAAAAAAUUGGGUUCAAUUUUUCUCAUUUGAAAUUUCAUAAAUAAAAAAGAAAAUUUCUUCAAACAUUUUUUUGAGAGGAUUAAUAUUCAACAGCAUAGUGAAUUGCUCUAAGAGAAAACAAAAAAUUUUAAGUUCAUUAGAACACAUUCAUUCUGUGUCAGAAACCUAUGCUGUGUCAACUAUUUAAUCACAAUCCAAAUUUAGAGCUGAAUCCAGCUUGAAUGUUGUGUCCAUACUUGCCCCAACCGUUCAGGGUUCAACCUCUGCGGUCGUAUAAAGCUACGCCCUGCGGAGCAUCUGGUUUGAUAUGUUGAAGCUAAACAUGUACUUAGAUUUUUGAUUAUGGGCCCAGAUUUCAAGUUGGUUCAAAUCAGGAUCCAAAAUUAUUAUUAUAUGAAGUAUUGUGCAAUAGCAAGAAAUUUUCAAUUGCACACAGUAUUCAGCAAUAGCAAGAAAUCUUCAAUUGCACAGUAUUGUACAAUAGGAAGAAAUUUUCAAUUGACAUACAAGCAAGAAUAUCAAGUAUUUGCAAUAGCAAGAAAUUUUCAAUUCACAGUAUUGUGCAAUAGCAAGAAAUUUUCAAUUGCACAGUAUUGUGCAAUAGCAAGAAAUUUCAAUUGCACAGUAUUUGCAAUAGCAAAUAUGCAAAUAAUAUAUCUAAAUGCACAACAUUGUGCCAUAGCAAGAAAUUUUCAAUUGGAGUUAUCUUUCUUUGUCCAGAAUAGUAGUUGAAUCAACUUAAAUCAUUGUUUUAUACAAUAUACAAUGUAUAUUCACUUUUACUACCAACUGAUAAAUUAAAACAAACUUUACCAUUCAGUGAUAACAAGCACUUUAUUUUACAUUUUAAUAUUUUAUGAUGUAUUUAUAUGAGUAGUUAUUGUUGCAAACUCUAUUAGUAAUUUGAAUUGAGAUCAGUUUUGGAAUAAGGGAAAGGGGGAUGUGAAAAAAAAAUUGGGAGGGGGGGGGGGUUCAAUUUUUCUCAUUUCAGAUUUCAUAAAUAAACAGAAAAUUUCUUUUAACAUUUUUUUGAGAGGAUUAAUAUUCAACACAUGCAACAGCAUAGUGAAUUGCUCAAAGGCAACAUACAAAUUUUAAGAUUAUUAGACCACAUUCAUUCUGUGUCAGAAACCUAUGCUGUGUCAACUAUUUAAUCACAAUCCAAAUUUAGAGCUGAAUCCAGCUUGAAUUUUGUGUCCAUACUUGCCCCAACCGUUCAGGGUUCAACCUCUGCGGUCGUAUAAAGCUGCACCCUGCGGAGCAUCUGGUUCUAUUUUGCAGAUAAUGACUUGUGUUUAAGUGUAUGGAUAUCUCUUAAAUUGUACUACAAGGUUCUAUACUACAAAGGAAUGGCUAAGAUAGAGUUUGGGGGUAAUUUCACCAAGCGGGGUUCAAAAAGUUGGAGGGGGGGGGGGUGUUUUCUCCCACUUUUUUUUAGGAGUUCAUAUUUUCAAACAAAAAAAGAAAAGUUUCAAGAAGAAAUCUUAAGUUGCACAGCAUGCACAGUAUUGGGCAAUAGAUUUGUAAGAUCCCUGACCACAUUUAUUUUGUGUCAGAAACCUUUUAAUAUCACUAGAACACACCCGUGAUAUCGCGGGUCCUUGACUGAAUUAAAGUAUAUAACUAUGCGCAAGCCUUAUUUUAGUAUUAGUAUUGGCAUCUGAUAAAGUCAUGCCGAUUAUAAGAUACACAGUUUUCUCUGCUUUCAAAUCCUUCAAACUGGAACUUAUCAAUUAUUGGUAAUAUUAAUUAUUUGGAAAACAAAAGGUCCUGGAAUGGAGUAUUUUUUAAUCAACAGCAUUGUCCUAUAUUAGUUAUGAAUAAAGUUGAAUUCUUUGAUUCGCUGUUUUACGUCAUGCCCGCUAACAAAUUGAAAACUGUACCUAUACGCUUUGUUUUUAGUCACAGAUUUUUAGUAUUCGUAUUGUUAUCUUAGAAAGUCUUACUGAUCAAAAUACUACAAUGGGUAGCAAUUUGACAAUUUAGUAGUGUCAACCCUGUGAUUAUGACCCGUGUAUAUAGCAUACACCGUUUGGUGGUGCGCCUGUCAGAUGCGGAACGUACAGAUAAGGUAAUUGGUAACAGGUGAAUAUACUAUUGGUAUCGGUAUCGGACUCGACCCGGAACUUCUUAAUUAUUGGCAAUAUUAAUUACGUGGAACACAAAAGGGCCUAGAGUGGUGUAAUUUUUAAUCUACACCUUUGUACUAUAUUAGUUAUAUGUAAAGUUGAAUUCUUUGAUUCGUCGUUUUUACGUGAUGACGGCUGACAAAUUGGACCUCGUAAUUUUAGUAUUAUAGAUGUCAAAAAUUUUAUCACAAUCUAAAUUCAGACAGUAUCAUUUGACAGUGAAAAUUGUGUCCAAAUUUGCCCAAACUGUUCAGGGUAAGACAUCUGUGGUUGUAUCAGGCUGUGCUCAGCGUGUUCAUUUCCGUUUCCGGUUACCGUAAAAAACAUCGUUUCCUUCAAAACUUCCUGUUUCAAAUUUCGUAUUUCUUCGAGUAAUUUAAAAUGAUUCUGCAGCUCUUCAUAACAAAAUCAUUUACGAGAAUAGAGAAUGAUUACGAGAAGGCAUGAAAUAUCGGGUUACAAGUAAAACGCUGUUCCAAGAGCGCAAAUCGCAGCAAUACAAAUUUUCUGUGAUUAGAAAAGGUGAUUUUUUUAUGAUAAAAUCACUUUGUGCAGGAAUCUUGGACUGUGAAUUAUAUCCAAAGAACAAGAAUUGUGAAAUACAUUGGUGCAAAAACAUAACUGGAUUAAAUAAAUUGACACAAGCACGAACUUGUUUGAUUUUUGACAGUAGAUUGAGUUCAAAAAUUCGGCAAACAAACACUUAGAUUACUCAUGGCCAUUUUUUUUUUUUUUGGACAAACAGCAAACACCUACUUGGCAUCUCUCAAAGAAUAUUUCACAACUUCUUUCUUUUGUUAAGUUCAUGUUUACAUAUAAUAAUUAUUGUAUCUAAGAAGAAUCAUAAAAGUUGCACGUACCAUCUAUUUUUUCAAAACUGUUUAGUUUUCAUUUAUUCUGUACUCGUAAUUCUUUGUUGCAUACCAUGAUAUUUGUUCAUUUUAUGGAGACAAAAAAAAAUUGCUAGAAGACAAAUAAAUUUGGUGAGGUAGUCCAAUGAAGAGAGCAUUCUCUAUGUUUUUGCUGUUACUAAAAUAGUUCUAAAGCAGCAGAACAUGUACGUAGAACAGUGGUUACAACAGAGUUUUUAUUUAGAUUUGAAAAGUAUGUAGAUUUCAUAUACAUAUAUAUACAUGAUUAAGUUAUUAUUAUACUGCAUAUAUCUGAAGAACACAUCACAAUGAGGGUUUCAUAAGAAUAAAAAAUUAAAAUAUAAAAUCCUCCACCCGCCCAUUUUUUUCAAAAAUUUAGAUGAAAAUCUACUAAUUAAUUUUAGUUGGCCUUACAAUGCUUUGAUAUUUACAUGCAAGUUAUGUUUGUUGUUAUUUAAAAUUGUACUUCACCAUUAUAAGUUGUUCAAUGUACAGUCAGGGGUACUACUAGUACAAGUUAUUUUUAAGUGAAUUAUAUUUACUUGUAUAGGUAAACAAAAAGUCAUCCUAUCUUCUUUUAUUGAAUUCUUAGGAUUUCUUUGCUCUAAUCGAAUCCUUGCUCUUAUACAAUUUUAAGUUAUCUGCCCUUUGCAGAUGUCUUUACUAAAUAUUUAAAAUUUAUUUAUUGCAAUGAAAAUCUAUGUCUGUUAUCUUCAGAACACUGCUCAUUACAACUCCAGGAGCAAUUUAGAAGGCCUUGGCAAAUACUUAGAUCUUUGCGCAUCAGUUUCUUGUUGAAUUAAUGAGAUAACAUUGAACUCUAAUUAAAAAAUAUGAGCUAACCUGGGAAAAAUCAUUUUAAAAAGCCUUGAUUUUCCAUCUCAAAACUUGAGAAUAUUUGUAGGAUUGUAACUUUGUAAGAAAAAUUUACUUAUGCAAGUAAUUUUUUGAGAAAUUAAAGGGAGAUUAUUUAAACAUUAUUAAUUUACUUAUAUGUGUAUAUUUUUUUUACUUCUUCAAGUAAAUAAAAAUAACUUGUACAAGUAGUACCCCUGACUGAUGUAAAGAAUGAAAUAUAACUGGAUUUUUUUUAGGAAAUAAAAAGAGUCUUAAUAGUUGAAAAGAUGCCACGAAAAAAGAAAAAAUCCAAAGAUGUUAUAAGGCGAGAGGACAGAGAAAGAAAAAGAAAAAAAGUAAGAAAAGACAACUUUCAAGUUUUUUUGAAAUGGGG